CGUGUAGGCUGCUCUGCAAGUCGGAUGUGAAAGCCCUGGGCUCAACCUAGGAAGUGCAUUCGAAACUGCAAAGCUUGAGUCCUGGAGAGGAAGGCGGAAUUCUCGGUGUAGAGGUGAAAUUCGUAGAUAUCGGGAGGAACACCGGUGGCGAAGGCGGCCUUCUGGACAGUGACUGACGCUGAGACGCGAAAGCGUGGGGAGCAAACAGGAUUAGAUACCCUGGUAGUCCACGCCGUAAACGAUGGGUGCUAGGUGUCGCGGGCUUUGACCCCUGCGGUGCCGUAGCUAACGCAUUAAGCACCCCGCCUGGGGAGUACGGCCGCAAGGCUAAA
RNAcentral lists this ribosomal RNA (332 nucleotides) under uncultured bacterium. RNAcentral's name for it is "bacterial SSU rRNA". It matches the Rfam family "Bacterial small subunit ribosomal RNA", at positions 568 to 898 of the family's 1533-position model. The record is from RNAcentral.